GAUGAACGCUGGCGGCGUGCCUAAUACAUGCAAGUCGAGCGAACAGACGAGGAGCUUGCUCCUCUGACGUUAGCGGCGGACGGGUGAGUAACACGUGGAUAACCUACCUAUAAGACUGGGAUAACUUCGGGAAACCGGAGCUAAUACCGGAUAAUAUAUUGAACCGCAUGGUUCAAUAGUGAAAGACGGUUUUGCUGUCACUUAUAGAUGGAUCCGCGCCGCAUUAGCUAGUUGGUAAGGUAACGGCUUACCAAGGCAACGAUGCGUAGCCGACCUGAGAGGGUGGUCGGCCACACUGGAACUGAGACACGGUCCAGACUCCUACGGGAGGCAGCAGUAGGGAAUCUUCCGCAAUGGGCGAAAGCCUGACGGAGCAACGCCGCGUGAGUGAUGAAGGUCUUCGGAUCGUAAAACUCUGUUAUUAGGGAAGAACAAAUGUGUAAGUAACUAUGCACGUCUUGACGGUACCUAAUCAGAAAGCAACGGCUAACUACGUG
Molecule: ribosomal RNA, 497 nt
Filed under: uncultured bacterium
Lineage: Bacteria
Description: partial 16S ribosomal RNA
Rfam family: Bacterial small subunit ribosomal RNA
Source: RNAcentral